UGGGGAAUCUUCCGCAAUGGACGAAAGUCUGACGGAGCAACGCCGCGUGAGUGAAGAAGGUUUUCGGAUCGUAAAACUCUGUUGUAAGGGAAGAACACGUACCAGUUAACUGCUGGUACCUUGACGGUACCUUACCAGAAAGCCACGGCUAACUACGUGCCAGCAGCCGCGGUAAUACGUAGGUGGCAAGCGUUGUCCGGAAUUAUUGGGCGUAAAGCGCGCGCAGGCGGUCCCUUAAGUCUGAUGUGAAAGCCCACGGCUCAACCGUGGAGGGUCAUUGGAAACUGGGGGACUUGAGUGCAGAAGAGGAAAGUGGAAUUCCAUGUGUAGCGGUGAAAUGCGUAGAGAUGUGGAGGAACACCAGUGGCGAAGGCGACUUUCUGGUCUGUAACUGACGCUGAGGCGCGAAAGCGUGGGGAGCAAACAGGAUUAGAUACCCCGGUAGUCC
This 448-nucleotide ribosomal RNA is filed under the name uncultured prokaryote. RNAcentral's name for it is "bacterial SSU rRNA". It matches the Rfam family "Bacterial small subunit ribosomal RNA", at positions 355 to 796 of the family's 1533-position model. The record is from RNAcentral.